CCUACGGGGGGCAGCAGUGGGGAAUAUUGGGCAAUGGGCGCAAGCCUGUCCCAGCAACGCCGCGUGAAGGAAGAAGGCUUUCGGGUUGUAAACUUCUUUUCUUGGGGACGAAGAAAGUGACGGUACCCAAGGAAUAAGCCACGGCUAACUACGUGCCAGCAGCCGCGGUAAUACGUAGGUGGCAAGCGUUAUCCGGAUUUAUUGGGUGUAAAGGGUGCGUAGGCGGACAGUCAAGUCAGCGGUAAAAAUGCGGUGCUCAACGCCGUACAGCCGUUGAAACUGGCAGUCUUGAGUGGGCGAGAAGG
This 305-nucleotide ribosomal RNA is filed under the name uncultured bacterium. Its description in RNAcentral is "bacterial SSU rRNA". It matches the Rfam family "Bacterial small subunit ribosomal RNA", at positions 338 to 658 of the family's 1533-position model. The record is from RNAcentral.